Acipenser ruthenus (sterlet) is the source of this 73-nucleotide non-coding RNA. The record is from the annotation of a RefSeq genome assembly. Lineage: Eukaryota; Metazoa; Chordata; Actinopteri; Acipenseriformes; Acipenseridae.
ACCAGGAUGGCUGAGUGGUUAAGGUGUUGGACUUAAAAUCCAAUAGAUGUGGGUUCAAACCCCACUUCUGAUA